AACGAACGCUGGCGGCAGGCUUAACACAUGCAAGUCGAGCGCCCCGCAAGGGGAGCGGCAGACGGGUGAGUAACGCGUGGGAAUCUACCGUGCCCUACGGAAUAGCUCCGGGAAACUGGAAUUAAUACCGUAUACGCCCUACGGGGGAAAGAUUUAUCGGGGUAUGAUGAGCCCGCGUUGGAUUAGCUAGUUGGUGGGGUAAAGGCCUACCAAGGCGACGAUCCAUAGCUGGUCGGAGAGGAUGAUCAGCCACAUUGGGACUGAGAAACGGCACAAACUCCUACGGGAGGCAGCAGUGGGGAAUAUUGGACAAUGGGCGCAAGCCUGAUCCAGCCAUGCCGCGUGAGUGAUGAAGGUCUUAGGAUUGUAAAGCUCUUUCACCGGUGAAGCUAAUGACGGUAACCGGAGAAGAAGCCCCGGCUAACUUCGUGCCAGCAGCCGCCGUAA
RNAcentral lists this ribosomal RNA (447 nucleotides) under uncultured bacterium. Its description in RNAcentral is "partial 16S ribosomal RNA". It matches the Rfam family "Bacterial small subunit ribosomal RNA", at positions 29 to 523 of the family's 1533-position model. The record is from RNAcentral.